Thalassophryne amazonica is the source of this 245-nucleotide long non-coding RNA. RefSeq lists it as uncharacterized. The transcript is spliced from 3 exons. The record is from RefSeq and is a predicted model, not a curated record. Lineage: Eukaryota; Metazoa; Chordata; Actinopteri; Batrachoidiformes; Batrachoididae.
GUUGCUGCAGCAUGGAGACAUUAUGAACAAACUGUCCAAUGAGGACAUCAGAUGGACGUCAACAGACCGUAAACAUGUGGUUCAGCCGUCUUUGAUACUGCUGAGCAGAUGGAACCCUGAGAACCUCUGAGCUCUGCUGCUUCACUCUCUGUCUUUCAGAGGGACACUGUCCUUUAAAAUCAGGAGGAGGACCCAUGGACCAGUCACUGUUCAGGGACACACAGCUGGGUCCAGGUCCAGAUGGG